ACAGCAUUCGCCGCGGGAAUACAGAGGGUGCGAGCGUUAAUCGGAUUUACUGGGCGUAAAGCGUGCGUAGGCGGCUUCUUAAGUCGGAUGUGAAAUCCCUGAGCUUAACUUAGGAAUUGCAUUCGAUACUGGGAAGCUAGAGUAUGGGAGAGGAUGGUAGAAUUCCAGGUGUAGCGGUGAAAUGCGUAGAGAUCUGGAGGAAUACCGAUGGCGAAGGCAGCCAUCUGGCCUAAUACUGACGCUGAGGUACGAAAGCAUGGGGAGCAAACAGGAUUAGAUACCCCUGUAGUCCCUGUCUCUUAUAC
RNAcentral lists this ribosomal RNA (305 nucleotides) under uncultured bacterium. RNAcentral's name for it is "partial 16S ribosomal RNA". It matches the Rfam family "Bacterial small subunit ribosomal RNA", at positions 508 to 807 of the family's 1533-position model. The record is from RNAcentral.